UUCAGGUCCGUCCUCGUGAAGAAAAAGGCAGUGUAAGUAUCCGAGUCAUAGUUUCCCAGGAUUAAUUCCCUUUUACUUCUAUAUCUUCAGCACAAUGUUCGCUCAUAUCCUGCAUAGUCAUAACUUAUUUAAAGUGCACAGAAGUGACUUUGAGCCGCAGAUGAUGACCUCAAGGGCGAGAGGGAAAGUACUUAACUUUAGUGCGCUGUUUGUGUUGGGAGCGACGGAUGAUCAGAGACAGGCGUGGAUUCGAGCUCUGUGCGUCCUAGGAGUGGGCAGCCAUCAGAGAGCUGUGUGUCUGCACUGUCGGGAUGCGGAGUCCCGUUCAUUUCCUUCACCUGUGCACAAUCAAGAGUGGAAAGAGAGGCACGCAGGAAUGUCGCCUCUCAAUUUGGGUUAGAGAAUAUCAUUGGCGUACAAGCUUAAUAGAGAACACGCGUGAGAAUUCAGGACAUGCAUAUGGAUAGCACUCAGAAGAAUUUAGGACAGGCACUAUUGGUAGCACGCGUGAGAUUGCACACUUCAAUUACUGAACAGAGAGCACUCGUGAAUAGGUUGGCACAGCAAAACGUAUUCCCAAACAUGUGAACACAGCAAAGUCAAUACUUUGCAGAAGCACCUUUGGCAGCAAUUACAGCUGAGUAUUUCUGGGUUUUCGUCCGGCUGAAGGAUCAAUUCACCCCCCAGUGUCUGGAGGAAAGCAGACAGAACAAGGUUUUCCUCUAGGAUUUUGCUUAGCUCUAUUUCGUUUGUUUUUUUUUAUCCUGAAAAACAUCCCAGUCCUUAAUGAUUACAACCACAACAUGAUGCACGUGCUGACGGGAUGACCUCACGCAGUUGCUGCAUAUUAUAAUGUCGGUAUAUUCAUGCUGCAAACAGCCCGUUCCAUCUCAUCCCAAUAAUGUUCUAUUGGGUUGAGGUCCGUGGACUGCGCAGGCCACUCAAGUAAACUGAACUUGCUGUCAUGUUCCUAGAACCAUUCUGAGAGAAUAUGGGCUUUGAGACAUGACACAUUAUCCUGCUGGAAGUAAUCAUGUGACAAAGGGUGAACCGUCUCCUUGAAGGGAUGCACCUGGUCAGCAACAAUGUUCAGAUACACUGUGGUGUUCGAACAUUGCCAAGUGGUAUCAAGAGACCUAACGUGUGCCAGGAAAACAUUCCCCAUACCAGUACACCACUGCCACCAGCCUGUACCGUUGACACCAGGCAGGAUGGGGCCAUGGACUCAUGCUGCUUACGCCAAAUCCUGACUCUGCCAACACCACUGUUAUACUGUGCAAUGAAUUGCCUGUUUGUGGACUGCCAGUUAGCUUGCCCAAUUCUUGCCAUUCUCCUUCGACUUCUCUCAUCAACAAGCUGUUUUUACUCACAGGCCCACACUGCCUGGAUGGUUUUUGUUUAUUUCACCAUUCUCCGUAAACUCUAAACACUGUCGUGCGUGAAAAGCCCAGGAGGCCGGCCGUUUCUGAGAUACUGGAACCGUCGCCCCUGGCAACAACUAUCAUACCACACUCAAAGUCGCUUCGGUCACUCGUUUUGCCCAUUCUUACCUUCAAUUGAAUAGUAACUGAAUGCCUCGAUGCCCGUCUGCCUACUUUAUAUAGCACGCACGGCCAAGUGACACACUGUCUACAGAUUUAUAGUAUAUUCCCAUUCCAAUGCAGGAAGACCUUCUGUAGA
Long non-coding RNA from Oncorhynchus keta (chum salmon), 1680 nucleotides. RefSeq lists it as uncharacterized. The record is from RefSeq and is a predicted model, not a curated record. The transcript has 3 exons. NCBI's taxonomy places the organism in Eukaryota, Metazoa, Chordata, Actinopteri, Salmoniformes, Salmonidae.